CGCCGCGUGGGUGCGGAGGUGAGGACAGCCAGCCAGCCGUGCGCAGUGGGCUCCGCAGAGACUCAGGUAUGGUCAGUACCGCUGACUGAAUAGGAACCCAUUCCUUGUUCGUGGAGAAAACCGGUGAAGGGCGGUGGGGUGCUUCUCUCAAAUGAACAAAAUCGCAACACCGACUGUCAAAUACGUGCAAGACAGGAGCCGCUGCCCUGUCCAGUCAACAUGCUCACGCGGAGCGAAUUUUAAGGAAUUUGUGUGGGAGCCUGGCCUGCUGCAGCUUUAAUGCAGCCUGCUUCAUUUCUCCCGAGCUGUUAAAUCCACCCUAGUGGCUUACCUUUGAAAGCAAACUGGAAAUGGUUGUUGGGUGAAUGAAUCAACUCUGGGACAGCUAGAGCUUGGCAGUACGAUCUACAGCAGAGCAACCGAGUUCUCAACCCAGGCGUCCCACGACCGGUGGCUGGAGAGACAGAGCAGGCUGCCAUACAUUAGGGUAUUACUCCGCCACGGAAAGGAGGGGCAUGCUGACAUGCCACAGCAUGCUGUCCCUGGAAAACUUGCCAGGUGGAAAAGACAGAUGCAGAUACAGGCCACACAGUGACAUGUUCACGCUGAGUGAGUCCACAGAGCCCAGCGCAGCCCAGGUUGCCAAAGCUGGGGUAGGAAGUAAAAUGCGCUCAACCACCUGAUGUCUUCAGCGUACAUGAGAAAGCUGAUGGCGCCCAGCACUAUAAAUUACUGUUACUGGACUCUGUAAGACACUUGAUUUUAUGUCAGGUGGAUUUCCUCUUAAUAACUUGUUUGGUAUUCAUAUUUAAAUUUU
This is a long non-coding RNA of Myodes glareolus (Bank vole), 817 nucleotides long. RefSeq lists it as uncharacterized. The record is from RefSeq and is a predicted model, not a curated record. Lineage: Eukaryota; Metazoa; Chordata; Mammalia; Rodentia; Cricetidae.